This 282-nucleotide ribosomal RNA is filed under the name Rhizophagus irregularis. Lineage: Eukaryota; Fungi; Glomeromycota; Glomeromycetes; Glomerales; Glomeraceae. The record is from RNAcentral.
CAGUCGUACCUUCGGGUAAUCAGCCUUUUGGGUGUGAUUUUGUGGAGCGUGAGGAGUUAAACGCCUUCAUGCCUGCAUAUUCGUGCACUUUGGGUGUACUUGCCCGUGUGUAAGUUAACAUCAAUUUUGGUGGUCAUAAAAUGGCUGGAGGAAUGUAGCUUCGAUCUUGUAUUGAAGUGUUAUAGCCUUUGGUAGACGUGAUGAUUGGGGAUUGGAGGAUUGCAACGGGAUACCCCUUCGGGCUACCUGUCUGAUCUCUGAUCGUUGCUCUGGUGCCGAAAG